Molecule: ribosomal RNA, 468 nt
Filed under: uncultured bacterium
Lineage: Bacteria
Description: partial 16S ribosomal RNA
Rfam family: Bacterial small subunit ribosomal RNA
Source: RNAcentral
GACGAACGCUGGCGGCGUGCUUAACACAUGCAAGUCGAACGGAAAGGCCCUGCUUUUGUGGGGUGCUCGAGUGGCGAACGGGUGAGUAACACGUGAGUAACCUGCCCUUUACUUUGUGAUAACUUCAGGAAACUGGGGCUAAUACCUGAUAGGAGCUCCUGCUGCAUGGUGGGGUUUGGAAAGUUUCGGCGGUUGGGGAUGGACUCGCGGCUUAUCAGCUUGUUGGUGGGGGAGUGGCUUACCAAGGCUUUGACGGGUAGCCGGCCUGAGAGGGUGACCGGCCACAAUGGGACUGAGAGACGGCCCAGACUCCUACGGGAGGCAGCAGUGGGGAAUAUUGCACAAUGGGCGGAAGCCUGAUGCAGAAACGCCGCGUGCGGGAUGACGGCCUUCGGGUUGUAAACCGCUUUCGCCUGUGACGAAGCGUGAGUGACGGUAAUGGGUAAAGAAGCACCGGCUAACUACGUG